GUGCAAGUGAUGUAAACUUUAUUUUCAACUGAAUGUCAGUGAAGCAUUCAAAGGAACCACUGAUGCCAC
Small nucleolar RNA from Cynoglossus semilaevis (tongue sole), 69 nucleotides. Its record names the gene SNORD42. It matches the Rfam family "Small nucleolar RNA SNORD42". Rfam says of the family: snoRNA U42 is found in intron 3 of the ribosomal protein L23a (RPL23a) gene in humans and is also present in mice. NCBI's taxonomy places the organism in Eukaryota, Metazoa, Chordata, Actinopteri, Pleuronectiformes, Cynoglossidae. The record is from Ensembl.